RNAcentral lists this ribosomal RNA (439 nucleotides) under uncultured bacterium. RNAcentral's name for it is "bacterial SSU rRNA". It matches the Rfam family "Bacterial small subunit ribosomal RNA", at positions 61 to 510 of the family's 1533-position model. The record is from RNAcentral.
GUCGAACGAGAACGGAUUAUAGCUUGCUAUAAUUGUCAGCUAAGUGGCGCACGGGUGAGUAAUGUAUAGAUAACCUGCCCUUAAGAAAGGAAUAACAGUUGGAAACGACUGCUAAUGCCCUAUAUGCCUUUAAUACAUAAGUAUGCAAGGGAAACGCUUUAGUGCUUAAGGAUGGGUCUGUAUGGUAUCAGCUUGUUGGUGAGGUAAUGGCUCACCAAGGCUAUGACGCCUAACUGGUUUGAGAGGAUGAUCAGUCACACUGGAACUGAGACACGGUCCAGACUCCUACGGGAGGCAGCAGUGGGGAAUAUUGCACAAUGGACGAAAGUCUGAUGCAGCAACGCCGCGUGGAGGAUGACACAUUUCGGUGCGUAAACUCCUUUUAUAUAGGAAGAUAAUGACGGUACUAUAUGAAUAAGCACCGGCUAACUCCGUGCCA